GACAGAGGGUGCAAACGUUGCUCAGAAUUACUGGGCGUAAAGCGCGUGUAGGCGGGCCGGAAAGUCGGGCGUGAAAUCCCUGGGCUCAACCCAGGAACUGCACUCGAAACUUCCGGUCUAGAGUGGUGGAGAGGGAAGUGGAAUUCCUGGUGUAGAGGUGAAAUUCGUAGAUAUCAGGAGGAACACCAGUGGCGAAGGCGGCUUCCUGGACACCAACUGACGCUGAGACGCGAAAGCGUGGGGAGCAAACAGG
RNAcentral lists this ribosomal RNA (253 nucleotides) under uncultured bacterium. Its description in RNAcentral is "partial 16S ribosomal RNA". It matches the Rfam family "Bacterial small subunit ribosomal RNA", at positions 524 to 776 of the family's 1533-position model. The record is from RNAcentral.